This 253-nucleotide ribosomal RNA is filed under the name uncultured bacterium. Its description in RNAcentral is "partial 16S ribosomal RNA". It matches the Rfam family "Bacterial small subunit ribosomal RNA", at positions 524 to 776 of the family's 1533-position model. The record is from RNAcentral.
UACGAAGGGUGCAAGCGUUACUCGGAAUUACUGGGCGUAAAGCGUGCGUAGGUGGUGAGUUAAGUCUGUCGUGAAAGCCCCGGGCUCAACCUGGGAAUGGCGAUGGAUACUGGCUCGCUAGAGUGCGGUAGAGGAGAGUGGAAUUCCCGGUGUAGCAGUGAAAUGCGUAGAGAUCGGGAGGAACACCGGUGGCGAAGGCGGGUCUCUGGGCAAUUCCUGACGCUGAGGCGCGAAAGCGUGGGGAGCAAACGGG